This 492-nucleotide ribosomal RNA is filed under the name uncultured bacterium. Its description in RNAcentral is "partial 16S ribosomal RNA". It matches the Rfam family "Bacterial small subunit ribosomal RNA", at positions 28 to 505 of the family's 1533-position model. The record is from RNAcentral.
GACGAACGCUGGCGGCGUGCUUAACACAUGCAAGUCGAACGGUGAAGCGCCUUCCUUUUUGGUGGGUGUGGAUGAGUGGCGAACGGGUGAGUAACACGUGAGUAACCUGCCCCCUUCUUCUGGAUAACCGCAUGAAAGUGUGGCUAAUACGGGAUAUUCUGGGUCUGUCGCAUGAUGGGUCUGGGAAAGAUAUUGUUUCGGUGGGGGAUGGGCUCGCGGCCUAUCAGCUUGUUGGUGGGGUGAUGGCCUACCAAGGCGGUGACGGGUAGCCGGCCUGAGGGGGUGGACGGUCACACUGGGACUGAGACACGGCCCAGACUCCUACGGGAGGCAGCAGUGGGGAAUAUUGCACAAUGGGCGCAAGCCUGAUGCAGCGACGCCGCGUGAGGGAUGGAGGCCUUCGGGUUGUGAACCUCUUUCGCCAGUGAAGCAGGCCUGCCUCGUUUGUGGGUGGGUUGACGGUAGCUGGAUAAGAAGCGCCGGCUAACUACG